GAUGAACGCUGGCGGCGUGCCUAAUACAUGCAAGUCGAGCGAACGGACGAGAAGCUUGCUUCUCUGAUGUUAGCGGCGGACGGGUGAGUAACACGUGGAUAACCUACCUAUAAGACUGGGAUAACUUCGGGAAACCGGAGCUAAUACCGGAUGAUAUUUUGAACCGCAUGGUUCAAAAGUGAAAGACGGUCUUGCUGUCACUUAUAGAUGGAUCCGCGCUGCAUUAGCUAGUUGGUAAGGUAACGACUUACCAAGGCAACGAUGCAUAGCCGACCUGAGAGGGUGAUCGGCCACACUGGAACUGAGACACGGUCCAGACUCCUACGGGAGGCAGCAGUAGGGAAUCUUCCGCAAUGGGCGAAAGCCUGACGGAGCAACGCCGCGUGAGUGAUGAAGGUCUUCGGAUCGUAAAACUCUGUUAUUAGGGAAGAACAUAUGUGUAAGUAACUGUGCACAUCUUGACGGUACCUACUCAGAAAGCCACGGCUAACUACGUG
This 497-nucleotide ribosomal RNA is filed under the name uncultured bacterium. RNAcentral describes it as "partial 16S ribosomal RNA". It matches the Rfam family "Bacterial small subunit ribosomal RNA", at positions 28 to 507 of the family's 1533-position model. The record is from RNAcentral.